AUGCCCUUCUCCGGCGACCUGACAGAGCGCAACCGCCAGUUGCUGCUAGACCAGCAGAAUUCCUCCGCCAUAAAGAUCCAGGUUUGUUUUAAACCCUUCACGAUUGUAUUACGGGGUUGGCGCAUCGCCAGUUCAGCACGCUGCCCGUUCGAGUUCGAUCUUCCAUGGACCAUCCGGGAUAAAUCUAAAUUGGUAUGUGUGCGUGGGGUUGUGGGUGGGGUGGGGUUGGGGGAUGUGAGGAAAAGCUAUGUUGCUUCGGAUUUUUUGGGUCAAUUCCUGUUAUUUUUUGAUGCAAAGGAGGACAAAGAUAUUGAUAUACUAUGUCAAGUCUGUGACCUGCUUCUACAAUAUGCCAAACGUGAUGGAGAUGUUGCAAGUCUCUUUGCUGGUGCAGAUUACUCAGUGGAACAUGUUGUAGUUCACAACGUAAAAAAGCUUGCACUCAUCUGUGUGCGUGCUGUUCAUCAGAAAAGUAUGUAA
This 480-nucleotide ribosomal RNA is filed under the name Triticum aestivum (bread wheat). RNAcentral describes it as "partial small subunit ribosomal RNA". The record is from RNAcentral. Lineage: Eukaryota; Viridiplantae; Streptophyta; Magnoliopsida; Poales; Poaceae.